Molecule: signal recognition particle RNA, 82 nt
Filed under: Weissella muntiaci
Lineage: Bacteria; Bacillati; Bacillota; Bacilli; Lactobacillales; Lactobacillaceae
Description: Weissella sp. 8H-2 signal recognition particle sRNA small type
Rfam family: Bacterial small signal recognition particle RNA
About the family: The signal recognition particle (SRP) is a universally conserved ribonucleoprotein involved in the co-translational targeting of proteins to membranes. Archaeal SRP consists of a 7S RNA and homologues of the eukaryotic SRP19 and SRP54 proteins.
Source: RNAcentral
UUCGAGGCAAGUGUGCACUUCGAACCGUGUCAGGGUCGGAAGGCAGCAGCACUAAGGGGAUCGUACAUUGUGCCUCACCCUA